This 1203-nucleotide long non-coding RNA is filed under the name Oryctolagus cuniculus (rabbit). Its description in RNAcentral is "lncRNA (ENSOCUG00000033143.1)". The record is from RNAcentral. Lineage: Eukaryota; Metazoa; Chordata; Mammalia; Lagomorpha; Leporidae.
UCAGAUAUGGGAUAGAGACAUUCCAAGGGGCAUCUUAAUCUCAGAAUCAAAUGCCCACCCCUACACUGUGCACUUCUAUGAUUUUGUGCCUUUACACGUACUAUUCCUUCUACCUGAAAAUAUCCUAUUUAUCUUCUAUUUUUUUAAAUAUUUAUUUAUUUGAAAGGCAGUGUGGAUGGAGAAGAAGGUUUGGAGAAAGAUGACACACUCUGUCCAUGCCAUGACCUGGAAUUAUGUAAAUCACUUCCAUGCAAGGCCAUUGCCGGGAGCUUAAUCACAUGCCACACUUAGCUACAGGAGAGGCUGAGAUAGUAGCAUCUUACUGAUAUCCAAAUCAGGGAAUAUUAAGAGGGGGAGAAUCGAUGUUGGAAAGCAACUAGCAGUCUUGCCAUAGAAGAAAGGGCUGCUUGCUUCAAAAUAUGACAUUCAAAAACAUGAACAUUCACUUCAUUCAUAGAAGUAAACCAGCAGAUGGGGGAAAAAAAGGUAAGAAAGAAAAAGCUGGCACAUUUGGAACAAAAUAGCUGCUGAGUGGGAAACAGAAGAGAGCACGAGAGAAGGCAGAGGACUGUGCCCUCCUCCACUGGUGUUAUCACUAGCUGCCCUUGGCUGGAUGGGGUCCAUUCCUCCACCAGAACAGCCUUUCCUUCCUCAGCAAGGCCUCCUUCAAAUUUACGUAGGCCUUACAACAGGAUUCACGCUUAGUAUGCAGAAUAUAGAAAAAUACUGAGUUCAUUAUGCCUAACAACAACAACAACAAAGACAGACACAAAGAGGUACAUUCAGUAUCACUCUAUUUACAAGAAGCUCCUGAACUGGCAGAAUCACCUUUACUGACAGAAAGCAGCUCAGAAGUUGCCUGGGCUUGGAGGGGAGGGGGCUGACAAAGCACAGGCAUGUGGAAUCGUUGUUGUUGUUCUUCUCAUUGUGAUAAAAUACACAUGACAGAAAAUUUGCCAUCUGAAUCAUUUCUAAGUGUACAGUGAAGUGGUAUUAAGUACAUACCCGCUGUGAAACCAUCACUACCAUCCAAGCCUAGAACCUAUUCAUCCUCCCAAGUUGAAAUUCAGCACCCACGGCACAGUAACUUCCCAUCACCUCUAUCCCUAGCCCCUGGCAACCACUAUUCUACUUGCUGUGUUCAUGAAUUUACUACUCUAGGUAUCUUGCAUAAGAAUCAUACAGUAUUUGUCCUUUUGUAAC